CCUACGGGUGGCAGCAGUGGGGAAUACUGCGCAAUGGGCGAAAGCCUGACGCAGCGACGCCGCGUGCGGGAUGAAGGUCUUCGGAUCGUAAACCUCUGUCAGCAGGGAAGAACGGUCACUGUGCUAAUCAGCAGUGAAUUGACGGUACCUGCAAAGGAAGCACCGGCUAACUCCGUGCCAGCAGCCGCGGUAAUACGGAGGGUGCGAGCGUUAAUCGGAAUUACUGGGCGGAAAGCGCUCGUAGGCGGUAUGUCAAGUCAAGGGUGAAAUCCCCGCGCUCAACGUGGGAACUGCCUUUGAAACUGGCAAACUGGAGUGUGUGAGAGGAUAGUGGAAUGCCAGGUGUAGGAGUGAAAUGCGUAGAUAUCUGGAGGAACAUCAGUGGCGAAGGCGACUAUCUGGCACAUAACUGACGCUGAGGAGCGAAAGCGUGGGUAGCAAACAGGAUUAGAUACCCCAGUAGUC
RNAcentral lists this ribosomal RNA (465 nucleotides) under uncultured bacterium. RNAcentral's name for it is "partial 16S ribosomal RNA". It matches the Rfam family "Bacterial small subunit ribosomal RNA", at positions 338 to 795 of the family's 1533-position model. The record is from RNAcentral.